This is a small nuclear RNA of Aotus nancymaae (Ma's night monkey), 107 nucleotides long. NCBI's taxonomy places the organism in Eukaryota, Metazoa, Chordata, Mammalia, Primates, Aotidae. The record is from Ensembl.
GUACUUAUUUCAGCAGCACAUAUUUUAAAAUUGCAUCAAUACAGAGCAGAUAAGCAUGGCUGCUGCCCAGGGAUGGCAUGAAAAUUCUUAAAGCAUUCCACAUUUUG